UGUUUUUUGUUCGCCUGUGUCUUUCUCUGACUUUUUCAACCAUCCAAUAGUAAAGUUCUCUUCUUUAUUCAUUGUUCUUCGUAAUUUCAUUUAUUGCCUUUGCUUCUUUUCUUUCUUUUGCAUUCAUUUUAGAGUCAAGGUUCAUACUUUAGUUUCUUUGUUUCAAUUUUAUGAGGUUUCUGUUUCUUUCUGAAUUCUGAGGAUUGAAUUGGAUUGAAGAAGUUUUCAAGCUUAGCAUUUUUUACAAGAGAUGAAUUGUGGGUCAUUUAGGAUUGUUGUACAUGGAGGAGUACUGCUGCUGAACAAAUCAGCUUAUCAAUUGAUAGUUUCUAGUUCCUAUUUUGGAGAGUAAUAGUUUGAGGGGAAUGUGAUUGAGAGCUUCAACUCGACUGAUUUGGUAAUUGCCGUGAAGGCGGAAUGCAGGAAACUAAUUUUCUGGAAUUUAUUCCUGUCAUAAAGAGGUCUAAAGAGACAAGUUUGGCGACUCAAAAUGUGUAUAAUUGUGUAGCGGCAGGACACCGGGACAGGCUUGGUGACAUGCCCGAUAGCCUUAUUCAUCAUAUUUUGUCGUAUAUGGAAACAAGAGAUGCAGUUCGAACUUGUGCUCUAUCGAAAAGGUGGAGGUAUGUUUGGACUUCAGUUCCCUUCCUUCACUUUAGUAGCAGAUCAUUCACGCGGUUGGUUGAUUUCAAGAAGUUUGUGUUGUGGGUUCUAUCCCAUCGCGAUAAUUCCAAUGUAAAAGUUCUUAUUUACAAUCGCUUUGGGGUAGAUUAUGCGACAGAUCAGUAUCUGUUGUAUAAGGUUAUUGAAUAUGCAGCAUCUCACGGUGUCGAAGAGAUCAGAAUUAAUCUUCGGGCAAAAACCACGGGAUGUCCACCGAUUGCAAUUCCUUUGCCUCUUUUUACUUGCCAAUCCUUGAAAAAGCUCGAGUUAAAACAAUGCCAUCCUACAAAUGUCUUGUCUCUACUCAGGUUCAAAUCAUUGGACAUGUUGCAUCUGGAUCAUUUUCCAAUGUUUCCUACCGCAGCCGACUUUUCAAAUCCUUUUGCAAGUUUGGCAGAGCUUUUCGGUUUUACAACAUUGACAACUUUACAUUUAAAUGACUUCACCCUAUGUUUUACGGGAAUGGAGCGUCUUGAUCCGUUUGCUAAUUGUGUCAAUUUGAAGAAUUUGCACUUAAGUGAAAUGUGCUUUAAGUCGGAUUUGAGCCCUAAGGAUUUCGUGAUAUCAGCUCCUCAACUAUGUAACUUGAGUCUAGUGUUCAAUCGCUUUAGAUGUAAGAUUUUAGUUGCUUCGCCACAGCUUCUCAAUUUCACUUACUUGUACACUACACCUUCUGCAUUCUUUGAGUUUAGUCUUCCUUCUUUGGAUGGCUUCGCCAUUGAUAUUCAUGAAUUAGCUGGCCGAAUGGAAAAUUACCUGUGGAAGCCAAAGGAGAAGAAUUUUUAUGGUUUGGUCAAUAUGUUACGGGAACAUCAGAAAGCUGAAGCUGUUAAACUAUCCUUCGGUACAGUUGCGGUAUAGAGAAAAUCCUCUUAACAUGUUUAUAUGUCUGUGCAUAAGAACGGACAAUGUUUGUGUGGGAUCUGGAUUGCGUGCAAUUGCAAUUCCGCGCAGUUUCACACAGUAUAGGAUCUCGUCUGUGAAUAUGAGACUGGACAACUCAAUUUACACAAUAACAAACCCAGCUGUUCCUUUCGGAUUAGACGGUUGAGAUCAGUAACUGUGUGAAGCAGUUAUCGCACCAAAUCCAAAUCCGUUUGUAAGUAGAUGGAAGUCAUUGAGCUUUGAAGUGGGAUCAACAUAUAAAAUCUUUAUCGACAACCUUGACCAUUUAACUGCAUAUUUCCGCAACUGUUCUCAGCGUCAGGAUGCAGAUUUUGAGAUUGUGAAUAUUUAGAAGGAGACUUUGCACAGGAGGUUUGACAUAUGCAUUGCUGAGGUGGAAGUUGACCCAACAUUUGGAUCCUUAUGAUAUAAACAAGGAUUAUUAUUGCUUGUAUGGUUUGAGUGGGAAAGGAUUCAGAUGUAUUGUCUUAUGUGGAUAGUUGUAGUAAUAAAACAAGCUUAUAAUGAAAUAGAAAUUGAAAUACAUUACACAAAUUUGUAUGUUGACAGUCAUUUAGUGGGGGUCCUUAGUUUAAAAGGAAAAUUGAAUAUGGAUUUUUUUUGGGUUCA
Cicer arietinum (chickpea) is the source of this 2178-nucleotide RNA transcript. It is a transcript of the gene named putative FBD-associated F-box protein At5g22720, with no coding region annotated. Lineage: Eukaryota; Viridiplantae; Streptophyta; Magnoliopsida; Fabales; Fabaceae. The record is from RefSeq and is a predicted model, not a curated record.